CUCCUCAUCCAGAAACAAAACCAGAAAUUUGUCCCGUGAAAAACCAUCCAACCAGAACUCUAAUAACUAAAGUUCCUCGGGCGAAUAAUGUCAACUCACAACACCGAAAUGGCAACAGUGGAGGAUGGAUUUCAAGAACAAGAAGGUGGAGACAAAGAAGAAGCUUAUUGACUACGGAGUCGGCACGGACUACAAAGGCGGACCUGCACAAAUUUUCAGGACUUGCUCGGAUCCCAAAUACAGAUCAGCAGGUACCAGAAGGAGGACUGUCAACAUGCAGCUUCCUUGCACGCUCCAGUCCAGUCCCUGCCGGACUUAGACUCUGUUGUUCCUUAGGAGAGUCCAUCUUCACAGCAGGAACCUCGUUCUUACAAGUUGUCUUUUUGUUUCAUGGACAGGAAGCUGAUCCUCUUCAUCCUCAGUCUGCUCAUCUUCUUCAAACAUCUCGUCUCAAUCCUCAAACUUGUUUUUCAGCUGCUUUGCUUCGGACUUUCCGUUGUGUCUACUGGCCUGCUGUGUGGUUUUCCUUGGGAGAAACUCUUCCCGGGCAUCCAAGGACAUCCCGCUGCAGACAUAAGAAACAAAAGUGUGUGUGCGUGUAGAGGAGGGACCAUUAUUGACUUAUUGAUGGUUUAAAUCCAUGUAGGUUACCUUGGAAGUAGUUUAACUUGGCAAGUAAAUAUCAAGUUAAAGUUGAGGGAUGUCUAACAAUUAUUGAUGAUAAUAGAAAAGUGAGCACAUGAGCAUUUUUAAAAUGUUUGU
Long non-coding RNA from Nerophis ophidion (straightnose pipefish), 762 nucleotides. RefSeq lists it as uncharacterized. The record is from RefSeq and is a predicted model, not a curated record. The transcript has 3 exons. Lineage: Eukaryota; Metazoa; Chordata; Actinopteri; Syngnathiformes; Syngnathidae.